This 307-nucleotide unclassified non-coding RNA is filed under the name uncultured fungus. RNAcentral describes it as "sequence contains ITS2". The stretch from base 1 to 52 matches the Rfam family "5.8S ribosomal RNA", at positions 103 to 154 of the family's 154-position model. Lineage: Eukaryota; Fungi. The record is from RNAcentral.
AACGCACCUUGCGCUCCUUGGUAUUCCGAGGAGCAUGCCUGUUUGAGUGUCAGUAAAUGCUCAAGCUCUUCAGCUUUUUCUUGUUGGAGGGACUUGGAUGUUGGAGGUUUUGCAGGCCUUGUUUAUGCAAGUCUGCUCCUCUAAAAUGCAUUAGCAAGAACUGUGUUGGGAAUCCUCACAGGGUGUGAUAACAUCUACACCUAGUGGAUGGCUCCAUAGUCAGUUCAGCUUCUAAUUGUCCCGCAAAGGUGACAGCACUAACCGAAUGUUUGACCUCAAAUCAGGUAGGACUACCCGCUGAACUUAA